GCCGACAUGGCUCAGUUGGUAGAGCAAUUCACUCGUAAUGAAUAGGUCGCAGGUUCGAUUCCCGCUGUCGGCACCA
Molecule: transfer RNA, 76 nt
Filed under: bacterium
Lineage: Bacteria
Also listed under: 2 other names
Description: tRNA-Thr
Rfam family: tRNA
About the family: Transfer RNA (tRNA) molecules are approximately 80 nucleotides in length. Their secondary structure includes four short double-helical elements and three loops (D, anti-codon, and T loops). Further hydrogen bonds mediate the characteristic L-shaped molecular structure. tRNAs have two regions of fundamental functional importance: the anti-codon, which is responsible for specific mRNA codon recognition, and the 3' end, to which the tRNAs corresponding amino acid is attached (by aminoacyl-tRNA synthetases). tRNAs cope with the degeneracy of the genetic code in two manners: having more than one tRNA (with a specific anti-codon) for a particular amino acid; and 'wobble' base-pairing, i.e. permitting non-standard base-pairing at the 3rd anti-codon position.
Source: RNAcentral